AGGAGCAUCAGGUAUGCCAGAGGGUUCGAUCAUGGCUCAGAUUGAACGCUGGCGGGAUCUUUACAUGCGUCGAACGGCAGCACGGACUUCGGUCUGGUGGCGAGUGGCGAACGGGUGAGUAAUGUAUCGGAACGUGCCUAGUAGCGGGGGAUAACUACGCGAAAGCGUAGCUAAUACCACAUACGCCCUUCGGGGAAAAGCGGGGGACCUUCGGGCCUCGCACUAUUAGAGCGGCCGAUAUCGGAUUAGCUAGUUGGUGGGGAAACAACGGCUCGCAAGGCGACGAUCCGUAGCUGGUUUGAGAGGACGACCAGCCACACUGGGACUGAGACACGGCCCAGACUCCUACGGGGAGGCAGCAGUGAGAAUUUUGGACAAUGGGGGAAACCACAAUCCAGCCAUCCCGCGUGUGCGAUGAAGGCCUUCGGGUUGUAAAGCACUUUUGGCAGGAAAGAAACGGCCUGGGAUAAUACCCGUGCAACUGACGGUACCUGCAGAAUAAGCACCGGCUAACUACGUGCCAGCAGCCGCGGUAGCCACGUAGGGUGCAAAGCGUUAAUCGGAAUUACUGGGCGUAAAGCGUGCGCAGGCAGUUCGGAAAGAAAGAUCUUGAAAUCCCAGAGCUUAACUUUGGAACUGCAUUUUUAACUACCGAGCUAGAGUGUCAGAGGGAAGGUGGAAUUCCGCGUGUAGCAGUGAAAUGCAUAGAUAUGCGGAGGAACACCGAUGGCGAAGGCAGCCUCCUGGGAUAACACUGACGCUCAUGCACGAAAAGCGUGGGGAGCAAAACCCAGGAUUAGAUACCUGGUAGUCCACGCCUAAACGUGUCAACUAGCUGUUGGGGCCUUCGGGCCUUGGUAGCGCAGCUAACGCGUGAAGUUGACCGCCUGGGGAGUACGGUCGCAAGAUUAAAACUCAAAGGAAUGACGGGGACGCACAAGCGGUGGAUGAUGUGGAUUAAUUCGAUGCAACGCGAAAAACCUUACCUACCCUUGACAUGUCUGGAAUCCCGAGAUUUGAAGUGCUCGCAAGAGAACCGGAACACAGGUGCUGCAUGGCUGUCGUCAGCUCGUGUCGUGAGAUGUUGGGUUAAGUCCCGCAACGAGCGCAACCCUUGUCAUUAGUUACUACGAAAGGGCACUCUAAUGAGACUGCCGGUGACAAACCGGAGGAAGGUGGGGAUGACGUCAAGUCCUCAUGGCCCAUAUGGGUAGGGCUUCACACGUCAUACAAUGGUCGGGACAGAGGGUCGCCAACCCGCGAGGGGAGCCAAUCCCAGAAACCCGAUCGUAGUCCGAGAUCGCAGUCUGCAACUCGACUGCGUGAAGUCGGGAGAUCGCUAGUAAUCGCGGAUCAGCAUGUCGCGGUGAAUACGUUCCCCGGGUCUUGUACACACCGCCCGUCACACCAUGGGAGUGGGUUUUACCAGAAGUAGUUAGCCUAACCGUAAGGAGGGCGAUUACCACGGUAGGAUUCAUGACUGGGGUGAAGUCGUAACAAAGGUAA
Molecule: ribosomal RNA, 1506 nt
Filed under: uncultured Bordetella sp.
Lineage: Bacteria; Pseudomonadati; Pseudomonadota; Betaproteobacteria; Burkholderiales; Alcaligenaceae
Description: partial 16S-23S ribosomal RNA intergenic spacer
Rfam family: Bacterial small subunit ribosomal RNA
Source: RNAcentral